UCACAGCCAGGAGAUGCAACGCAGACUCGAGGGCGAGGUCGCCGUGGCCAACAUCGCCCGGCAAAAGGUUC
This 71-nucleotide non-coding RNA is filed under the name Togula jolla. Lineage: Eukaryota; Dinophyceae; Gymnodiniales; Gymnodiniaceae. The record is from RNAcentral.